CCCCGUCCCCGUCCCUCCCCCAUCCAUUGUCUCCUGCUCUCCCCCUCUGGUGGAGUGCCUGGUCGCUGGCGGACGGCACCAUCUGAGGCAGCUGCUAAGCGCCACGUCCGGUCGGCGUUGUGGCGCCGGGUCGUCUACUUCUAUCCCGUGGUGGAUCGUCGCGACCUGCGUGGCGCUGUCGGGUCCUCGGGCGGGGAUAGCCUAGCCAUCAGCCGCCGUUCUUGCACCGGAGUUCCUGCUCAGGUUCCAUAACUUCCGUGUGGUGUUUGUCUAUAAUAAAGGGGAAAAAAUAAAAACAUAUUGGAAGAUGAGAUCAGUAGUUCGGUCGCUGCGGCAGCUCCGCCGUUUCAUCUGGCGCCAUGCAGAGAGCCACCCAUCAACAACCAGAUUGAUCAGGCAGCAGAAUGCUUUGAUCAUGUUUGCAAGUCCAGGUGUGGAUCUAGUGAGGUCCAUGUUCUCCACUGCAGCGGCUGAUUCGAUCAGAGGUCAAUUUCUCAUUUCUCUUUAUAUGUGGUGCCUUCUAUGUUCUCUUUGGGGCCAUUUGAAUCAACUUAAUUACAUGCAUUAUUAAACAAUUGAUGGAUAUUGGAAGAGGUGGUCCGAUGGUGGAAUAUGAGAGGAGAAUAGCAUCAGGAGAGCUUGUAGAUGGCGAUAGCUUUCAGGUUGACACAAUUCAACAAUUAUAAAGGCUCUACGAGGAGUUGAUUGAGAAUGAAGAAGGCUGCCAGCUGGAUAGCUUGCUACUUGCUUGUGACACUGAACAACUAUGAACCACGCAUGGAUCACACACUGACAGAACUAGACUAGGCUAGUUUCUAGAAAGGUUGGGACGCGCAACCGUUCAUCAAGCCCCGUCAUACCUUCUCUGUGGUGGUAGUAGGACACUUGCUGAUACUUCUCACUCCCUAUUGCUUGCUGAUACUUGUUUGCAGUAUGUAUAUGCGUGUAUGAACUAAUGUGGUGAUACUUGUUUCUCGAUCAGGAACUAAUGUUUUGUGUUGAGUGCAUA
Molecule: long non-coding RNA, 1009 nt
Organism: Setaria italica (foxtail millet)
Lineage: Eukaryota; Viridiplantae; Streptophyta; Magnoliopsida; Poales; Poaceae
Exons: 3
Source: RefSeq, a predicted model, not a curated record